This 429-nucleotide ribosomal RNA is filed under the name Chloroflexota bacterium. Its description in RNAcentral is "Chloroflexi bacterium partial 16S ribosomal RNA". It matches the Rfam family "Bacterial small subunit ribosomal RNA", at positions 355 to 776 of the family's 1533-position model. Lineage: Bacteria; Bacillati; Chloroflexota. The record is from RNAcentral.
UGGGGAAUAUUGCACAAUGGGCGCAAGCCUGAUGCAGCCAUGCCGCGUGUGUGAAGAAGGCCUUCGGGUUGUAAAGCACUUUCAGCGGGGAGGAAGGCGUUAAGGUUAAUAACCUUGGCGAUUGACGUUACCCGCAGAAGAAGCACCGGCUAACUCCGUGCCAGCAGCCGCGGUAAUACGGAGGGUGCAAGCGUUACUCGGAAUUACUGGGCGUAAAGCGCACGCAGGCGGUCUGUCAAGUCGGAUGUGAAAUCCCCGGGCUCAACCUGGGAACUGCAUUCGAAACUGGCAGGCUAGAGUCUUGUAGAGGGGGGUAGAAUUCCAGGUGUGGCGGUGAAAUGCGUAGAGAUCUGAGGGAAUACCGGUGGCGAAGGCGGCCCCCUGGACAAAGACUGACGCUCAGGUGCGAAAGCGUGGGGAGCAAACAGG